UGUACUCUAUUCUACCAUAUUCUAUUGUACUGUACUGUAUUCUACUGUUCUGUAGUGUACUGUACUCUACUGUACUGUACUGUCUUCUACCGUAUUCUAUUGUACUGUACUGUAUUCUACUGUUCUGUACUGUACUGUACUCUACUGUACUGUACUGUACUCUACUGUACUGUACUGUACUCUACUGUUCUGUACUGUACUGUAUUCUACUGUUCUGUAGUGUACUCUAUUCUACCGUAUUCUAUUGUACUGUACUGUAAAGUAUUUUACGUUUCUACUGUAUUGUUCUGUGUUCUACUGCAGUUCUGUUCUGUACUCUACUGUUCUGUACUGUACUGUGUUCUACUGUUCUGUAUUCUACUGUUCUGUAUUCUGCUGUUCUGUUCUGUAUUCUACUGUUCUGUAUUCUACUGUUCUGUUCUGUAUUCUACUGUUCUGUAUUCUACUGUUCUGUUCUGUAUUCUACUGUUCUGUAUUCUACUGUUCUGUAUUCUACUGUUCUGUACUGUACUGUGUUCUACUGCAGUGUACUGUAUUCUACUGUUCUGUACUGUUCUGUAUUCUACUGUUCUGUACUGUACUCUACUGUUCUGUUCUGUACUGUACUCUACUGUUCUGUACUGUACUGUAUUCUACUGUUCUGUACUGUUCUGUAUUCUACUGUACUGUACUGUAUUCUACUGUUCUGUACUGUACUGUAUUCUACUGUUCUCUACUGUACUGUACUCUACUGUUCUGUACUGUUGUGUAUUCUACUGUUCUGUACUGUUCUGUACUCUACUGUUCUGUACUGUACUGUAUUCUACUGUUCUGUACUGUACCGUAUUCUACUGUUCUCUACUGUACUGUACUCUACUGUUCUGUACUGUUGUGUAUUCUACUGUUCUGUACUGUUCUGUACUGUUCUGUACUGUUCUGUAUUCUACUGUUCUGUACUGUUCUGUACUGUUCUGUACUGUUCUGUAUUCUACUGUUCUGUACUGUACUGUACUCUACUGUUCUGUACUGUUCUGUAUUCUACUGUUCUGUACUGUACUCUACUCUACUGUUCUGUACUGUUGUGUAUUCUACUGUUCUGUACUGUUCUGUACUGUUCUGUACUGUUCUGUAUUCUACUGUUCUGUACUGUACUCUACUCUACUGUUCUGUACUGUUGUGUAUUCUACUGUUCUGUACUGUUGUGUAUUCUACUGUUCUGUAUUCUACUGUUCUAUACUGUACUGUAUUAUACUGUUCUGUACUGUUCUGUAUUCUACUGUUCUGUUCUGUACUCUACUGUUCUGUACUCUACUGUUCGUUCUGUACUGUUCUGUAUUCUACUGUUCUGUACUCUAUUCUACUGUAUUCUAUUGUUCUGUACUGUUCUGUAUUCUGCUGUAUUCUACUGUUCUGUACUGUACUCAACUGUUCUGUUCUGUACUGUAUUCUACUGUAUUCUACUGUUCUGUUCUGUACUGUUCUGUAUUCUACUGUUCUGUACUCUAUUCUACUGUAUUCUAUUGUUCUGUACUGUUCUGUAUUCUGCUGUUCUGUACUGUAUUCUACUGUUCUGUAUUCUACUGUAUUCUACUGUUCUGUACUGUAUUCUACUGUUCUGUACUCUACUGUAUUCUACUGUACUGUAUUCUACUGUAUUCUACUGUUCUGUACUGUUCUGUAUUCUACUGUUCUGUUCUGUAUUCUACUGUUCUGUACUCUACUGUAUUCUACUGUUCUGUACUCUACUGUAUUCUACUGUUCUGUUCCGUAUUCUACUGUUCUGUACUCUACUGUAUUCUACUGUACUGUAUUCUACUGUUCUGUACUCUACUGUAUUCUACUGUACUGUAUUCUACUGUUCUGUACUCUACUGUAUUCUACUGUAUUCUACUGUACUGUAUUCUACUGUUCUGUACUCUACUGUAUUCUACUGUAUUCUACUGUACUGUAUUCUACUGUUCUGUACUCUACUGUAUUCUACUGUAUUCUACUGUACUGUAUUCUGCUGUUCUGUUCUUUGAUGUCCAAACUUGUGAAACAUAG
Oncorhynchus kisutch (coho salmon) is the source of this 2022-nucleotide long non-coding RNA. The record is from Ensembl. NCBI's taxonomy places the organism in Eukaryota, Metazoa, Chordata, Actinopteri, Salmoniformes, Salmonidae.